UUUACCUCUUUUUGCCAAACAUAACAAGCGUCACAAUACCUAACUCUACUACAUCCGUCAAUGUCAAUAGUUUUUGAAUUUUCUGCAAUACUAGUUUUCAAUGCUUCUAAAUCAAUUUCAGCUUUGUUUACUUUACCUUCCAAAAAAGAGAAGAUAUGUUUGUCGGAAGCUAGUCGUUUAAAAGCAUCUACAGCUUCGUUAUGCAGUUUUUCAAAAGCUAUUUUUAAUUCCGAAAAAGACAUAGAGGAGAAAUUAUUGUAAUAGGCUUGUUUUACCUUUUUG
Molecule: long non-coding RNA, 282 nt
Filed under: Lathyrus oleraceus (garden pea)
Lineage: Eukaryota; Viridiplantae; Streptophyta; Magnoliopsida; Fabales; Fabaceae
Description: Pisum sativum (pea) long non-coding RNA (PSAT_LNC025874)
Source: RNAcentral